CUUAUUGUGACAGCAAUGUCAUGAUAAGUAUAGCGGCGGACGGGUGAGUAACACGUGGAUAACCUACCUUUUACAGGGGAAUAACCGGGAGAAAUCCCAGCUAAAGCCCCAUAAGCCGGAAGGGACGCAUGUUCCAGUCGGAAAAUAUUUAUAGGUAAAAGAUGGGUCCGCGUCUGAUUAGCUAGUUGGCAGGGUAAGAGCCUACCAAGGCGACGAUCAGUAGCCGGCCUGAGAGGGUAGACGGCCACAUUGGGACUGAGACACGGCCCAAACUCCUACGGGAGGCAGCAGUGGGGAAUAUUGCACAAUGGGGGGAACCCUGAUGCAGCAACACCGCGUGAAGGAAGAAGGCCUUCGGGUCGUAAACUUAUAUCGAUGGGGAAGAAAGAAAUGACGGUACCCAAGUAAGAAGCCCCGGCUAACUACGUGCCAGCAGCCGCGGUAAUACGUAGGGGGCAAGCGUUAUCCGGAAUUACUGGGUGUAAAGGGUGAGUAGGCGGCAAAGCAAGCCACAUGUGAAACCCCGGGGCUUAACCCCGGGAUUGCAUGAGGAACUGUUUAGCUAGAGUACAGGAGAGGUAAGCGGAAUUCCUAGUGUAGCGGUGAAAUGCGUAGAUAUUAGGAAGAACACCAGUGGCGAAGGCGGCUUACUGGACUGAAACUGACGCUGAGUCACGAAAGCGUGGGGAGCAAACAGGAUUAGAUACCCUGGUAGUCCACGCUGUAAACGAUGAGUGCUAGGUGUUGGGUCGAGAGACUCGGUGCCGGAGCAAACGCAAUAAGCACUCCACCUGGGGAGUA
This 801-nucleotide ribosomal RNA is filed under the name uncultured bacterium. RNAcentral describes it as "bacterial SSU rRNA". It matches the Rfam family "Bacterial small subunit ribosomal RNA", at positions 67 to 882 of the family's 1533-position model. The record is from RNAcentral.